RNAcentral lists this ribosomal RNA (463 nucleotides) under uncultured bacterium. RNAcentral's name for it is "partial 16S ribosomal RNA". It matches the Rfam family "Bacterial small subunit ribosomal RNA", at positions 339 to 795 of the family's 1533-position model. The record is from RNAcentral.
CUACGGGACGCAGCAGUGGGGAAUAUUGCACAAUGGGCGCAAGCCUGAUUCUUCCAUGCCGCGUGUAUGAAGAAGGCCUUCGGGUUGUAAAGUACUUUCAGCGGGGAGGAAGGGAGUAAAGUUAAUACCUUUGCUCAUUGACGUUACCCGCAGAAGAAGCACCGGCAACUCCGUGCCAGCAGCCGCGGUAAUACGGAGGGUGCAAGCGUUAAUCGGAAUUACUGGGCGUAAAGCGCACGCAGGCGGUUUGUUAAGUCAGAUGUGAAAUCCCCGGGCUCAACCUGGGAACUGCAUCUGAUACUGGCAAGCUUGAGUCUCGUAGAGGGGGGUAGAAUUCCAGGUGUAGCGGUGAGAUGCGUAGAGAUCUGGAGGAAUACCGGUGGCGAAGGCGGCCCCCUGGACGAAGACUGACGCUCAGGUGCGAAAGCGUGGGGAGCAAACAGGAUUAGAUACCCCAGUAGUC